This 297-nucleotide long non-coding RNA is filed under the name Malus domestica (apple). RNAcentral's name for it is "long non-coding RNA (MDOM_LNC000068)". The record is from RNAcentral. Lineage: Eukaryota; Viridiplantae; Streptophyta; Magnoliopsida; Rosales; Rosaceae.
AGUUUGUUUCAUGUCCACUAUCCAAUGUGAUACUUUCCUAUAUGAUUCCCUUGAAUAUGAUUUGGAACAAACUUCCUAAGUCAUAUUCAUUUGUUUUAGCCAAAGACUUUAGAAUCAUAUCUUAGAGUAUUCUCCUUCCACCAUGGAAGGUUAGAGAUCCCUUGUUGUGCAUUCAUAUGCUUACAUGACUAGAUAGCUUGACCCCAACAAUGCCGUGGACACUCCGAGGGAAUGCCGUUGACAUGAUUAAAGAUCAAGGACCUAACCAUUAGACAUCUAUGAUGCCUCAGGUCAAAG